RNAcentral lists this small RNA (1179 nucleotides) under Rattus norvegicus (Norway rat). RNAcentral describes it as "uncharacterized LOC103694251". Lineage: Eukaryota; Metazoa; Chordata; Mammalia; Rodentia; Muridae. The record is from RNAcentral.
UGCUAUUGUUAGCUUUACCUGUGUAAACCAGUGUGUUCCCUCGAGUAACCACAAGAGCACUUGCUGUUAUAGGCGACGUCUGACCCCUCCCACAUACUCAGCUAAACCUUAUGGCUACUCAGGGAGACGUGGCCUGUGCUCACUGGAUGCUUCAAGAAGGUGCGGGAUGUCCCAGAACAUGAGGUGCCAGUGUCGGUGGGCUGGACAUAUCCCAGGUAUUGACUUUGCUCACCAGCAUGCUGGUGCCCUAGGAAGGACCUGGCUUUGAUCCAGCCCUCGCUGGAAAAGUCUGGACAUAAAAUAAGUACACCAGCUAAGGACAGUUUGGAAUAAGAUAAACAUUCAACAGCCCCUUAUCAACGGGACAUAAACAUCUAUGUUUCAGAAAGAAAACGAAAACACUUUUGGAAAGAAGACAGGUCCUGACUUUAUUCAAACAAUGCUAUCUGCCCAGAUAAGCAGGGAAAUAGGAUCCUACAGCUCUGCCUGCUGUGUGCUCUCUCCUACGCGUGCCGGAUCCCUUUAAACUCCGCCGGGAACAAUAAGUUGUUUUCUUUCCUUGUCUGCUCAUUUUAUGAUCUAGUUCUCAAGUAACUGAUUAUAUGUUGGACAUAAAAGUGAGAUAUUUAUUUUCAAAUGCGACUGCAUACUGCUGCUGACACAUUUACUAUCAGGGAGAUUGAAUUAUUUUUAAGGCUGCUGUUUUGAAAUGUCUCUUGUAUGUUGAACUUAUAUUGUGUUUCCUAUCGUGUCGAGCACUCAGAAAGUGUCAGGAGAUAGAAACCGGCUCAAGUCUGUUCCCGCUUCUGGAAGAACUUUUCUGCAUACACUGGCUAUAGAUGGGGAUGGAACCCGCCAGCCUCCCUUCACACAUCUCCUUCCAGAUUCUCCCCGGCUCGCUGAGAAACCUGUUCUCGUCGCUUCAGUCACACAGAUGGCAUGCUAACCGUGCUGGGACAGAGCGCACAGUGAGCAGACUUAACAAAGAGUGACACAAGGCAACAGAGGAACCCACAACGUCUUGCCUGGCACCAUCAUGACGGGACACACCAAGACCUGCUGGGUCUGCCGCCACGCAUCUGCAAUCUCAGCACCGGGAGACAGAGACAGGAGGAUCCUGGGGCUCACUGUCCUCUCACACAGCUGGAGCAGUGAGGUCCAGGGUCAGUGAGAGAUCAA